RNAcentral lists this ribosomal RNA (889 nucleotides) under uncultured bacterium. RNAcentral's name for it is "bacterial SSU rRNA". It matches the Rfam family "Bacterial small subunit ribosomal RNA", at positions 505 to 1397 of the family's 1533-position model. The record is from RNAcentral.
GUGCCAGCCGCCGCGGUAAUACGGAAGGUCCGGGCGUUAUCCGGAUUUAUUGGGUUUAAAGGGAGCGCAGGCUGAUGAUUAAGCGUGACGUGAAAUGUAGCCGCUCAACGGCUGAACUGCGUCGCGAACUGGUUAUCUUGAGUGAGUUCGAUGUUGGCGGAAUUUGUGGUGUAGCGGUGAAAUGCUUAGAUAUCACGAAGAACUCCGAUUGCGAAGGCAGCCGACAAGGCCUUUACUGACGCUAAAGCUCGAAGGUGCGGGUAUCGAACAGGAUUAGAUACCCUGGUAGUCCGCACGGUAAACGAUGGAUGCCCGCUGUUGGCGAUACAAUGUCAGCGGCCAAGAGAAAUCGUUAAGCAUCCCACCUGGGGAGUACGCCGGCAACGGUGAAACUCAAAGGAAUUGACGGGGGCCCGCACAAGCGGAGGAACAUGUGGUUUAAUUCGAUGAUACGCGAGGAACCUUACCCGGGCUUGAACUGCAGCGGAAGGAUACAGAGAUGUUGACGCCCUUCGGGGCCGCUGUGGAGGUGCUGCAUGGUUGUCGUCAGCUCGUGCCGUGAGGUGUCGGCUUAAGUGCCAUAACGAGCGCAACCCUUUUCAUCAGUUGCCAUCAGGCGAUGCUGGGCACUCUGGUGAUACUGCCACCGUAAGGUGUGAGGAAGGUGGGGAUGACGUCAAAUCAGCACGGCCCUUACGUCCGGGGCUACACACGUGUUACAAUGGGAGGUACAGAGAGUGGGAUGUGCGCAAGUACGUUCAAAUCCUAAAAGCCUUCCUCAGUUCGGAUUGGGGUCUGCAACCCGACCCCAUGAAGCUGGAUUCGCUAGUAAUCGCGCAUCAGCCAUGGCGCGGUGAAUACGUUCCCGGGCCUUGUACACACCGCCCGU